GUAACGGCGAGUGAAGAGGGAAGAGCUCAAAUUUUGAAUCUGGCACCUUUGGUGUCCGAAUUGUAAUCUAGAGAAGUGUUUUCCGUGACGGACCGUGCACAAGUCUCCUGGAAUGGAGUGUCAUAGAGGGUGAGAAUCCCGUAUAUGGCACGGACUCCCGUUGCUCUGUGAUACACUCUCGACGAGUCGAGUUGUUUGGGAAUGCAGCUCUAAAUGGGUGGUAAAUGCCAUCUAAAGCUAAAUAUUGGCGAGAGACCGAUAGCGAACAAGUACCGUGAGGGAAAGAUGAAAAGCACUUUGGAAAGAGAGUGAAACAGUACGUGAAAUUGUUGAAAGGGAAACGCUUGAAGUCAGUCGCGCCGUUCGGGAUUCAGCCUUGCUUCUGCUCGGUUUACUUCCCGUUGGGUGGGUCAACAUCAGUUUCGGUCGGAGGAGAAAGGCUCGGGGAAGGUGGCAGCAUUCGUGCUGUGUUAUAGCCCCUUGUUGUAUACUUCGACUGGGACUGAGGACCGCAGCACGCCUUUGGCCGGGGUUCGCCCACGUACGUGCUUAGGAUGUUGGCAUAAUGGCUUUAAGCGACCCGUCUUGAAACACGGACCAAGGAGUCUAACAUGUGCGCGAGUGUUUGGGUGUUAAACUCGGACGCGAAAUGAAAGUGAAAAGUUGGGAACACGUCUGUGUGCACCGACGCCCGGAGCUGACCUUCUGUGACGCAUCUGCGGUAGAGCGUAUAUGUUGGGACCCGAAAGAUGGUGAACUAUGCCUGAAUAGGGUGAAGCCAGAGGAAACUCUGGUGGAGGCUCGUAGCGAUUCUGACGUGCAAAUCGAUCGUCAA
This 835-nucleotide ribosomal RNA is filed under the name uncultured Sebacinaceae. RNAcentral describes it as "eukaryotic LSU rRNA". It matches the Rfam family "Eukaryotic large subunit ribosomal RNA", at positions 83 to 908 of the family's 3401-position model. The record is from RNAcentral. Lineage: Eukaryota; Fungi; Basidiomycota; Agaricomycetes; Sebacinales; Sebacinaceae.